GAGGGGACAGCUCAGUGGUAGAGCGCACGCUUAGCGCACACGGGGUCCUGGGUUCAAUCCCCAGUCCCUUCA
RNAcentral lists this transfer RNA (72 nucleotides) under Camelus bactrianus (Bactrian camel). It matches the Rfam family "tRNA". Rfam says of the family: Transfer RNA (tRNA) molecules are approximately 80 nucleotides in length. Their secondary structure includes four short double-helical elements and three loops (D, anti-codon, and T loops). Lineage: Eukaryota; Metazoa; Chordata; Mammalia; Artiodactyla; Camelidae. The record is from Rfam by way of RNAcentral. RNAcentral also lists the same sequence under 2 other names.